GUGGUGUGGAUGUUUAUUGGGCCUAAAGCAUCCGUAGCUGGCUAAGUUAGUCCCUUGUUAAAUCCACCGAAUUAAUCGUUGGAUUGCGGGGGAUACUGCUUAGCUAGGGGACGAGAGAGGCAGACGGUAUUUCCGGGGUAGGGGUGAAAUCCUAUAAUCCCGGGAAGACCACCAGUGGCGAAGGCUGUCGGCUAGA
This 196-nucleotide ribosomal RNA is filed under the name uncultured crenarchaeote. RNAcentral describes it as "partial 16S ribosomal RNA". It matches the Rfam family "Archaeal small subunit ribosomal RNA", at positions 488 to 684 of the family's 1478-position model. Lineage: Archaea; Thermoproteati; Thermoproteota. The record is from RNAcentral.